CUCAACUUGACAGAUAAUUGUAAAAGACUUAGAAUCUUUCCACCCUAUU
Molecule: transfer RNA, 49 nt
Filed under: Dysdera inermis
Lineage: Eukaryota; Metazoa; Arthropoda; Arachnida; Araneae; Dysderidae
Description: tRNA-Leu
Source: RNAcentral